Paramormyrops kingsleyae is the source of this 1367-nucleotide long non-coding RNA. RefSeq lists it as uncharacterized. The record is from RefSeq and is a predicted model, not a curated record. NCBI's taxonomy places the organism in Eukaryota, Metazoa, Chordata, Actinopteri, Osteoglossiformes, Mormyridae.
GUCUGUACCGUGUCUUCGUGAUUUGUCUGCAAUAAACCCCUUAGUUGUCUUGGGAUUUCUGCGUCUGCCUGACCCUGAUUCCCCGCUCCAUGCUCGCCGUCGGUCUGACAGUGAUAAUCGAUAAAAUAUAUCGCUAUCGUGCUGAAUUUAAUUAUGCUAAUAAAACGCACCCGGGGAUGAGAUUCCGCAUGACAGUUGUCAUUCGUCAAGUUCUCUGCAUCUCAGGACCACAUUUUUGGUUUUCUGCAUUUUCUGUUUGAUUUUACACUUCAGAGCUGCAAGAUUUUGUUUUUGUGAUUCCUUUUCUUAGCCUAUAACUUGUCAGAUUUAAGAAAGUCAAAGUGUAAGUGAAUGAAGACAAAAUCCAUCUAGCUCCGACUUCCUUAAAUCCAACAAGUUACCCAGCCAAGCAAGAACCUGCUUUGUGGAACACAGAGCUUCUGCACCUCAGGACAACAGGGCCACCGAACGUACAUGGUGAGAGCUAAAAUUAAUAAAUGUGAAACACACCACCUACUGGAUGGAAUGCCACUUUCCAAGGACACUGAGAAUGCCACAUCAGCAGAUCAACGCAGUAGAUGUCGUAUUGGAAAAAGGCCUCUUUCUGUGCGCCUGCAUCGUUUGCAGUCACAGCCAGACGAGAGCCCCGGGGUGCUGCUAGGUCACCUCAAUUAUCAGUCUUGAUAUGCUAGCAGUAAGAAUAACACUCCAGGGAUCAUCCUUUGGCGAUAACACAAGAAAACAGGCUAGAAUACUAAAAACACAGGUCCUCUUUUCUCCCCAGAAUUAGCAUUUCCCAAUCUCUUGCCACAGAAGCGAAACAAACAAAAAUAUUCUUGAUGGGAAAAAAAAAAUCUCAUUAAACUAUGAGGUGGAUGCAAAUAGGAGCACCAUCGAAUGUGGAGGAACCAAUAUGACAGGGGCACCUGGCUUAAGAUGACAGAAACAAGUUGCGUCAGGCCCUUCGGCAGGCAUCCCGACAGGUGCAUUCAGUGGGGACGACAUCCAUUUCUUUCCUUCAAGUCAAGACCCAUCUGUCUCAUCUUGGGCUUAUUUAAUCAGCUGUAAAAGGUUGGACCACAGAUACACACAGACACAUUUAAUUUAUUUAUCGCAGUCUGAAUUCAUUUACAAUUGCAUGAAUGACCCUGGCCAGAGGUUACAAGAUGAAAGGAUAGAUAUUUGAUGGAUGGAUUGAAGGAUAGAUAUGUUAAGAAUGAACAAGGAAGUUCCUAUAAUGUCCACUUUUAUAAUGUUACUUUGUAUUUGCUAGUAAUGAAGGUUCAUCUAACUGAUAUUAGACAGCCUGGUCAGCAUGUCUGUAUACAUCUAAGGAUGUAGCAACUUUGCAAUAAAUGUUACAUAUC